GUGGGGAAUAUUGGGCAAUGGGGGAAACCCUGACCCAGCAACGCCGCGUGAAGGAAGAAGGUUUUCGGAUCGUAAACUUCUAUCCUUGGUGAAGAUAAUGACGGUAGCCAAGAAGGAAGCCCCGGCUAACUACGUGCCAGCAGCCGCGGUAAUACGUAGGGGGCAAGCGUUGUCCGGAAUGAUUGGGCGUAAAGGGCGCGUAGGCGGCCUGGUAAGUCUGGAGUGAAAGUCCUGCUUUUAAGGUGGGAAUUGCUUUGGAUACUGUCGGGCUUGAGGGCAGGAGAGGUAAGCGGAAUUCCCGGUGUAGCGGUGAAAUGCGUAGAGAUCGGGAGGAACACCAGUGGCGAAGGCGGCUUACUGGACUGUAACUGACGCUGAGGCGCGAAAGUGUGGGGAGCAAACAGGAUUAGAUACCCGUGUAGUCC
RNAcentral lists this ribosomal RNA (425 nucleotides) under uncultured bacterium. RNAcentral's name for it is "partial 16S ribosomal RNA". It matches the Rfam family "Bacterial small subunit ribosomal RNA", at positions 354 to 796 of the family's 1533-position model. The record is from RNAcentral.